ACGGGUGAGUAACGCGUGGGAAUCUACCGUACCCUACGGAAUAGCUCUGGGAAACUGGAAGUAAUACCGUAUACGCCCUAACGGGGAAAGAUUUAUCGGGGUAUGAUGAGCCCGCGUUGGAUUAGCUAGUUGGUGGGGUAAAGGCCUACCAAGGCGACGAUCCAUAGCUGGUCUGAGAGGAUGAUCAGCCACAUUGGGACUGAGACACGGCCCAAACUCCUACGGGAGGCAGCAGUGGGGAAUAUUGGACAAUGGGGGCAACCCUGAUCCAGCCAUGCCGCGUGAGUGAUGAAGGUCUUAGGAUUGUAAAGCUCUUUCACCGAUGAAGAUAAUGACGGUAGUCGGAGAAGAAGCCCCGGCUAACUUCGUGCCAGCAGCCGCGGUAAUACGAAGGGGGCUAGCGUUGUUCGGAAUUACUGGGCGUAAAGCGCACGUAGGCGGGUAUUUAAGUCAGGGGUGAAAUCCCGCAGCUCAACUGCGGAACUGCCUUUGAUACUGGGUAUCUUGAGUAUGGAAGAGGUAAGUGGAAUUGCGAGUGUAGAGGUGAAAUUCGUAGA
This 557-nucleotide ribosomal RNA is filed under the name uncultured bacterium. RNAcentral describes it as "bacterial SSU rRNA". It matches the Rfam family "Bacterial small subunit ribosomal RNA", at positions 102 to 694 of the family's 1533-position model. The record is from RNAcentral.